Long non-coding RNA from Lagopus muta (rock ptarmigan), 543 nucleotides. RefSeq lists it as uncharacterized. The transcript has 3 exons. NCBI's taxonomy places the organism in Eukaryota, Metazoa, Chordata, Aves, Galliformes, Phasianidae. The record is from RefSeq and is a predicted model, not a curated record.
AUUUAAGGUUAAAAACAGGGAUUUCUAUGAAAAUAAGCGAUAUUUAAGGUUAAAAACAGGGAUUUCUAUGAAAAUAAGCGAUAUUUAAGGGGAAAAACAGGGAUUUCUAUGAAAAUAAGCGAUAUUUUAGGGGAAAAACAGGGAUUUCUAUGAAAAUAAGCGAUAUUUAAGGUUAAAAACGGGGAUUUCUAUGAAAAUAAGCGAUAUUUAAGGGGAAAAACAGGGAUUUCUAUGAAAAUAAGCGAUAUUUAAGGUUAAAAACGGGGAUUUCUAUGAAAAUAAGCGAUAUUUAAGGGGAAAAACAGGGAUUUCUAUGAAAAUAAGCGAUAUUUAAGGUUAAAAACGGGGAUUUCUAUGAAAAUAAGCGAUAUUUAAGGGGAAAAACAGGGAUUUCUAUGAAAAUAAGCGAUAUUUAAGGUUAAAAACAGGGAUUUCUAUGAAAAUAAGCGAUAGUUUAGGGGAAAAACAGGGAUUUCUAUGAAAAUAAGCGAUAUUUAAGGUGAAAAACAGGGAUUUCUAUGAAAAUAAGCAAUAUUUUAGGGG